RNAcentral lists this ribosomal RNA (425 nucleotides) under uncultured bacterium. Its description in RNAcentral is "partial 16S ribosomal RNA". It matches the Rfam family "Bacterial small subunit ribosomal RNA", at positions 354 to 796 of the family's 1533-position model. The record is from RNAcentral.
GUGGGGAAUCUUGCGCAAUGGGCGAAAGCCUGACGCAGCCAUGCCGCGUGAAUGAUGAAGGUCUUAGGAUUGUAAAAUUCUUUCACCGGGGACGAUAAUGACGGUACCCGGAGAAGAAGCUCCGGCUAACUUCGUGCCAGCAGCCGCGGUAAUACGAAGGGGGCUAGCGUUGCUCGGAAUUACUGGGCGUAAAGGGCGCGUAGGCGGACAGCUUAGUCAGAGGUGAAAGCCCAGGGCUCAACCUUGGAAUUGCCUUUGAUACUGGCUGUCUUGAGUUUGGGAGAGGCGAGUGGAACUCCGAGUGUAGAGGUGAAAUUCGUAGAUAUUCGGAAGAACACCAGUGGCGAAGGCGACUCACUGGCCCAAUACUGACGCUGAGGCGCGAAAGCGUGGGGAGCAAACAGGAUUAGAUACCCCAGUAGUCC